This 1000-nucleotide ribosomal RNA is filed under the name uncultured organism. RNAcentral describes it as "bacterial SSU rRNA". It matches the Rfam family "Bacterial small subunit ribosomal RNA", at positions 355 to 1375 of the family's 1533-position model. The record is from RNAcentral.
UGGGGAAUAUUGCACAAUGGGGGAAACCCUGAUGCAGCGACGCCGCGUGAGCGAAGAAGUAUUUCGGUAUGUAAAGCUCUAUCAGCAGGGAAGAAGAAUGACGGUACCUGACUAAGAAGCACCGGCUAAAUACGUGCCAGCAGCCGCGGUAAUACGUAUGGUGCAAGCGUUAUCCGGAUUUACUGGGUGUAAAGGGUGCGUAGGCGGCUUUGCAAGUCAGAUGUGAAAUCUAUGGGCUCAACCCAUAAACUGCAUUUGAAACUGUAGAGCUUGAGUGAAGUAGAGGCAGGCGGAAUUCCCCGUGUAGCGGUGAAAUGCGUAGAGAUGGGGAGGAACACCAGUGGCGAAGGCGGCCUGCUGGGCUUUAACUGACGCUGAGGCACGAAAGCGUGGGUAGCAAACAGGAUUAGAUACCCUGGUAGUCCACGCUGUAAACGAUGAUUACUAGGUGUGGGGGGUCUGACCCCUUCCGUGCCGGAGUUAACACAAUAAGUAAUCCACCUGGGGAGUACGGCCGCAAGGUUGAAACUCAAAGGAAUUGACGGGGGCCCGCACAAGCAGUGGAGUAUGUGGUUUAAUUCGAAGCAACGCGAAGAACCUUACCAGGUCUUGACAUCCAACUAACGAAGUAGAGAUACAUUAGGUGCCCUUCGGGGAAAGUUGAGACAGGUGGUGCAUGGUUGUCGUCAGCUCGUGUCGUGAGAUGUUGGGUUAAGUCCCGCAACGAGCGCAACCCUUGCUAUUAGUUGCUACGCAAGAGCACUCUAAUAGGACUGCCGUUGACAAAACGGAGGAAGGUGGGGACGACGUCAAAUCAUCAUGCCCCUUAUGACCUGGGCUACACACGUACUACAAUGGAUGUUAACAGAGGGAAGCAAGACAGCGAUGUGGAGCAAACCCCUAAAAACAUUCUCAGUUCAGAUUGCAGGCUGCAACCCGCCUGCAUGAAGAUGGAAUUGCUAGUAAUCGCGGAUCAGCAUGCCGCGGUGAAUACGUUCCC